RNAcentral lists this ribosomal RNA (196 nucleotides) under uncultured Geobacillus sp. Its description in RNAcentral is "partial 16S ribosomal RNA". It matches the Rfam family "Bacterial small subunit ribosomal RNA", at positions 1191 to 1382 of the family's 1533-position model. Lineage: Bacteria; Bacillati; Bacillota; Bacilli; Caryophanales; Anoxybacillaceae. The record is from RNAcentral.
CAUCAUGCCCCUUACUUGACCUGGGCGUACACACGUGCUACAAUGGGCGGGUACAAAGGGCUGCGAACCCGCGAGGGGGAGCGAAUCCCAAAAAGCCGCUCUCAGUUCGGAUUGCAGGCUGCAACUCGCCUGCAUGAAGCCGGAAUCGCUAGUAAUCGCGGAUCAGCAUGCCGCGGUGAAUACGUUCCCGGGCCUU